RNAcentral lists this ribosomal RNA (342 nucleotides) under Cherax preissii. RNAcentral's name for it is "partial 12S ribosomal RNA". The record is from RNAcentral. Lineage: Eukaryota; Metazoa; Arthropoda; Malacostraca; Decapoda; Parastacidae.
ACUUGAAUAUUAGGAGUUAUGGGCUUUAAAUUCAAAGAAUUUGGCGGUAUUUUAGUCUUGUUAGAGGAACCUGUUCUGUAAGCGAUAUUACACGUAUAAUCUUACUUACUUUUGUUUUAGCUUGUAUACCAUCAUUAUUAGAUAACCUUUAUUGAGAGAGUUGUUGGCCUAUAAAAAAAUUAGAUAUAUUAGAUCAAGGUGCAGCUAAUGGGUAAGUAGUAAUGGGUUACAAUGAAAUUUAUUUAAACGAAUUAAUGUUUGAAAAAUUAUUAUGAAGGAGGAUUUAAUUGUAACAUAAAUUUAAUAAGUUUAUGUGGUAUGAGAACUAGAAUAUGUACAUAU